UACCUGGUUGAUCCUGGCAGUA
RNAcentral lists this ribosomal RNA (22 nucleotides) under Gaudinia fragilis. RNAcentral's name for it is "partial 18S ribosomal RNA". Lineage: Eukaryota; Viridiplantae; Streptophyta; Magnoliopsida; Poales; Poaceae. The record is from RNAcentral.